GACGAACGCUGGCGGCGUGCUUAACACAUGCGAGUCGAACGUAAAGGCCCUGCUUUUGUGGGGUGCUCGAGUGGCGAACGGGUGAGUAACACGUGAGUAACCUGCCCUUGACUUUGGGAUAACUUUAGGAAACUGGGGCUAAUACCGGAUAGGAGCUCCUGCUGCAUGGUGGGGGUUGGAAAGUUUCGGCGGUUGGGGAUGGACUCGCGGCUUAUCAGCUUGUUGGUGGGGUAGUGGCUUACCAAGGCUUUGACGGGUAGCCGGCCUGAGAGGGUGACCGGCCACAUUGGGACUGAGAUACGGCCCAGACUCCUACGGGAGGCAGCAGUGGGGAAUAUUGCACAAUGGGCGGAAGCCUGAUGCAGCAACGCCGCGUGCGGGACGACGGCCUUCGGGUUGUAAACCGCUUUCGCCUGUGACGAAGCGUGAGUGACGGUAAUGGGUAAAGAAGCACCGGCUAACUACGUG
This 468-nucleotide ribosomal RNA is filed under the name uncultured bacterium. Its description in RNAcentral is "partial 16S ribosomal RNA". It matches the Rfam family "Bacterial small subunit ribosomal RNA", at positions 28 to 507 of the family's 1533-position model. The record is from RNAcentral.